UACGUAGGAGGCAAGCGUUGUCCGGAUUCAUUGGGCGUAAAGGGUGCGUAGGCGGCGCGGUAAGUCGGGUGUGAAAUCUCGGAGCUUAACUCCGAAACUGCAUUCGAUACUGCCGUGCUUGAGGACUGGAGAGGAGACUGGAAUUUACGGUGUAGCGGUGAAAUGCGUAGAUAUCGUAAGGAAGACCAGUGGCGAAGGCGGGUCUCUGGACAGUUCCUGACGCUGAGGAGCGAAAGCGUGGGGAGCGAACAGG
This 253-nucleotide ribosomal RNA is filed under the name uncultured bacterium. RNAcentral's name for it is "partial 16S ribosomal RNA". It matches the Rfam family "Bacterial small subunit ribosomal RNA", at positions 524 to 776 of the family's 1533-position model. The record is from RNAcentral.